Molecule: ribosomal RNA, 554 nt
Filed under: uncultured bacterium
Lineage: Bacteria
Description: bacterial SSU rRNA
Rfam family: Bacterial small subunit ribosomal RNA
Source: RNAcentral
ACGGUACCGGCAUAAGAAGCACCGGCUAACUACGUGCCAGCAGCCGCGGUAAUACGUAGGGUGCGAGCGUUAAUCGGAAUUACCGGGCGUAAAGCGUGCGCAGGCGGUUUUUUAAGACAGGCGUGAAAUCCCCGGGCUCAACCUGGGAACUGCGCUUGUGACUGGAAGGCUAGAGUAUGGCAGAGGGGGGUGGAAUUCCACGUGUAGCAGUGAAAUGCGUAGAGAUGUGGAGGAACACCAAUGGCGAAGGCAGCCCCCUGGGCCAAUACUGACGCUCAUGCACGAAAGCGUGGGUAGCAAACAGGAUUAGAUACCCUGGUAGUCCACGCCCUAAACGAUGUCAACUAGGUGUUGGGUGGGUAAAACCAUUUAGUACCGGAGCUAACGCGUGAAGUUGACCGCCUGGGGAGUACGGCCGCAAGGUUAAAACUCAAAGGAAUUGACGGGGACCCGCACAAGCGGUGGAUGAUGUGGAUUAAUUCGAUGCAACGCGAAAAACCUUACCUACCCUUGACAUGUCCAGGAGCCUGAAGAGAUUUGGGUGUGCCCGAAAG